This 1324-nucleotide ribosomal RNA is filed under the name uncultured bacterium. RNAcentral's name for it is "16S ribosomal RNA". It matches the Rfam family "Bacterial small subunit ribosomal RNA", at positions 34 to 1386 of the family's 1533-position model. The record is from RNAcentral.
CGCUGGCGGCGUGCCUAACACAUGCAAGUCGAGCGAUUCUCUUCGGAGAAGAGCGGCGGACGGGUGAGUAACGCGUGGGUAACCUGCCCUGUACACACGGAUAACAUACCGAAAGGUAUGCUAAUACGAGAUAAUAUGCUUUUAUCGCAUGGUAGAAGUAUCAAAGCUUUUGCGGUACAGGAUGGACCCGCGUCUGAUUAGCUAGUUGGUAAGGUAACGGCUUACCAAGGCGACGAUCAGUAGCCGACCUGAGAGGGUGAUCGGCCACAUUGGAACUGAGACACGGUCCAAACUCCUACGGGAGGCAGCAGUGGGGAAUAUUGCACAAUGGGCGAAAGCCUGAUGCAGCAACGCCGCGUGAGCGAUGAAGGCCUUCGGGUCGUAAAGCUCUGUCCUCAAGGAAGAUAAUGACGGUACUUGAGGAGGAAGCCCCGGCUAACUACGUGCCAGCAGCCGCGGUAAUACGUAGGGGGCUAGCGUUAUCCGGAAUUACUGGGCGUAAAGGGUGCGUAGGUGGUUUCUUAAGUCAGAGGUGAAAGGCUACGGCUCAACCGUAGUAAGCCUUUGAAACUGGGAAACUUGAGUGCAGGAGAGGAGAGUGGAAUUCCUAGUGUAGCGGUGAAAUGCGUAGAUAUUAGGAGGAACACCAGUUGCGAAGGCGGCUCUCUGGACUGUAACUGACGCUGAGGCACGAAAGCGUGGGGAGCAAAAAGGAUUAGAUACCCUGGUAGUCCACGCCGUAAACGAUGAGUACUAGCUGUCGGAGGUUACCCCCUUCGGUGGCGCAGCUAACGCAUUAAGUACUCCGCCUGGGAAGUACGCUCGCAAGAGUGAAACUCAAAGGAAUUGACGGGGGACCCGCACAAGUAGCGGAGCAUGUGGUUUAAUUCGAAGCAACGCAAAGAACCUUACCUAAGCUUGACAUCCUUUUGACCGAUGCCUAAUCGCAUCUUUCCCUUCGGGGACAGAAGUGACAGGUGGUGCAUGGUUGUCGUCAGCUCGUGUCGUGAGAUGUUGGGUUAAGUCCCGCAACGAGCGCAACCCUUGCCUUUAGUUGCCAGCAUUAAGUUGGGCACUCUAGAGGGACUGCCAGGGAUAACCUGGAGGAAGGUGGGGAUGACGUCAAAUCAUCAUGCCCCUUAUGCUUAGGGCUACACACGUGCUACAAUGGGUGGUACAGAGGGCAGCCAAGUCGUGAGGCGGAGCUAAUCCCUUAAAGCCAUUCUCAGUUCGGAUUGUAGGCUGAAACUCGCCUACAUGAAGCUGGAGUUACUAGUAAUCGCAGAUCAGAAUGCUGCGGUGAAUGCGUUCCCGGGUCUUGCAC